This 65-nucleotide transfer RNA is filed under the name Tuxedo cruralis. Its description in RNAcentral is "tRNA-Tyr". The record is from RNAcentral. Lineage: Eukaryota; Metazoa; Arthropoda; Insecta; Hemiptera; Miridae.
GAUAAGAUGGCUGAAUUUAGGUUAUAAACUGUAAAUUUAUAUAUGGGUGAUUUACCCUCUUGUCA